Molecule: long non-coding RNA, 543 nt
Filed under: Salmo salar (Atlantic salmon)
Lineage: Eukaryota; Metazoa; Chordata; Actinopteri; Salmoniformes; Salmonidae
Description: lncRNA (ENSSSAG00000109519.1)
Source: RNAcentral
UAGUCAAGGGCUUGAUGAUUAUUUGACAAGUUGAAUCAGGUGUGAUAGCUCUGGAAUAGUUGAAAUACAUGGAACAGCUGGAGGUCCCAGAGUAGAGAUUUGGAACGGCUGGAGGUCCCAGAGUAGAGGUUUGGAACGGCUGGAGGUUCCAGAGUAGAGGUUUGGAACGGCUGGAGGUACCAGAGUAGAGGUUUGGAACGGCUGGAGGUUCCAGAGUAGAGGUUUGGAACGGCUGGAGGUUCCAGAGUAGAGGUUUGGAACGGCUGGAGGUUCCAGAGUAGAGGUUUGGAACGGCUGGAGGUUCCAGAGUAGAGGUUUGGAACGGCUGGAGGUUCCAGAGUAGAGGUUUGGAACGGCUGGAGGUCCCAGAGUAGAGGUUUGGAACGGCUGGAGGUUCCAGAGUAGAGGUUUGGAACGGCUGGAGGUUCCAGAGUAGAGGUUUGGAACGACUGGAGGUUCCAGAGUAGAGGUUUGGAACGGCUGGAGGUUCCAGAGUAGAGGUUUGGAACGGCUGGAGGUUCCAGAGUAGAGGUUUGGAACGGC